Molecule: long non-coding RNA, 479 nt
Filed under: Numida meleagris (helmeted guineafowl)
Lineage: Eukaryota; Metazoa; Chordata; Aves; Galliformes; Numididae
Description: lncRNA (ENSNMEG00000010149.1)
Source: RNAcentral
GGAAAGGAUAAACAUGGAAUGAUAGGCCUGGGAUUACUACAGCCCAGUUUAACUUUUCCUACUACAUGAAGUAUACGGCUGCUUUCCUGGUGUGUUCUCAACAUUAAAUUCACUUCCAUUCAAGCUGCUGUGCUGUAAGACCAGCUAUCAUACUCCCUGCUUCUGACUGCUCUUUUAGGUGGGAGUCAUCUCUGGCAGCUGAACUGUCUGGAUGUCUGCAGCCUUCUGUGAACAUCAGAACUGAUUUCUACCCUGGAACAGAAGAGAGGUGUUUACGCUCUGUGUUGCCCCCUCCCUUCAAGAGUACAAAGUUACUUGUUCCUCACAGUGAGAUGUCUUCUGGCUGCUUAAUGAGGUUUUGAAUGGCAGUGAACAGCUUUGCUUCCAAAAGUAAUGGCUGUAAGUAUUCACACUAUUUGAAUCAAUACUAAGUAGAUCAGGAAGUAACUUGGGUAGUGGGGAUAGUCUCUGCAUCUUUG